Long non-coding RNA from Esox lucius (northern pike), 4049 nucleotides. RefSeq lists it as uncharacterized. The transcript has 2 exons. Lineage: Eukaryota; Metazoa; Chordata; Actinopteri; Esociformes; Esocidae. The record is from RefSeq and is a predicted model, not a curated record.
AGACAUAUUUGGAAGGCUUCUGGUUUAGAAAAACUACAUUUUAAAUGCAGGUGAUGCAAUAUUAAUCGUGCUUUGCUGAUAUAAAAUGCAAUAUUUUCAGACAGCUAGUGGGGUUUCAGCGAGCCGUCAGAUGAAAGCAGAAGUCUCGGCAGCAGUAGGCUGGACCAGAGAAAGCGGCGCAUUUAUUACUUUUGUUUGGCUUUUGGCUACGAGAGAGAAGAACAUUUAAAACAUCCCUAUCCCUACAGUCCGUUGUAUACUGUUCCACAAAACACUUCAAGCGACGACUACUACAAGCGCCAUGCAAGCCUGCCUGCCUGCACGCAAAUGCAAUAUUUCAGCCCGACGAACUGCUCCCUUGCAGAUUGAAGAGUAAUGCAUUAUUGAAAGGCCAUAUCAAACACCUCUGGGGGGCUGUCUUUCUUUCUUCCUGCUCUGCACUGCUCAGACCGGUCAGGCAGGCCCGGGCUCGAGAUGAAGUCCCGUUGUCUGACGGUACUAAAGCUCCUAAUAUGUUAAUGGCCGGAGGGGAUGCCUGAGGUAACCGGGCUGCUUGCUGCUACCGGCCCCAGCUGCCGCGUGUUCCAUAUGUCAGCCGAUUGGACACGUGGAUAUCUAUUAAUCAAGACAUGUUUCAUCAUCAUCAGCAACAACAACAACAAAAACAACAACAACAACAGCUGAUUAAACAAUAUACCACCAUCUAAGUUAAAACCAGAAUAACAUCUAUAGUAAUAGUGCAACGAUUUAAAUGUAAUCUGUGUUUACAUUUCUCUGUUUUUCCACUCCGACUUUUGUUUGGAGGGAAGUCGGUGAAUCAGUCUGGAUAUUCUCUAUGAUUGAAAAACCAAAUAUUGCAUGUCCGCUAACAUCAGUCUUUCUGUCAGUGGGUCUGUAGUCUUGCGUUGUUAAAGAGAACUCAACCCGUGGCAGAUGUGAUUAUGCAGCAUGCGAACGUACAUGUCCUCUAGGCUCCAAAGCGAAUGGAGAAGCCUUUGAGAAACAGCCACUUUCACUUCUUAAUAGCUGGGUUGACCUCGUGUAGAAAAAACAACAAAAACACAAAAAUAAGAGGAAAAUGUCAACGAAGCAAUCCGAAAAAGAAUACCCUACAUAUACUGGGGAAAUAAAUUAGUAGCUUAUAGGCAAUCUCUAACCCCGGUCACUUCAAAAACGAUUGUAAUCACAUUCGAUUUUAGUUUGUAUAUUUAAAAUACUAAUUUUGCAUUUAUUUUAUUAGGGCUAUAGGUAUUGAGUAAUCAUUUGAGUAAUCAACACAUCUUUUAAAAGUUAGAAGUCAGUAUUAAAGCAUAAAUGUGUUUUAAUGGUGCAAUGCCUUUCACUCUCCCCUUCCUUCGCCGAACCUCGGAGUCAGUUGCAUAGAAAGCUCUAUAAUGCGUCUUGAGUUACCAUGGAUCUCAUAAGUUAAUUCCUUUAGGCUAUACUAUCGCGAGAGUAAUUAAUCUAGCCCGUGGAUGUAAAUAAAGUGAAAUUGGAUUCCUGACAGACCAGAUGAGGAAGGCCUCUGACACCACGCGACACACAAAAUGAUGUUUCCUCCACAUCACGCACGCGCUUUAUAUGCAAACGCGGUGCGGGCGCUUUAGAUUUACGAUCGCAUGACUUUUAAGUACAAAAGCUGAGAGCGAAGGGGAACGCAGAACGUAGCCUAAUAGCUGCCGUUACGAUCCCAAGUUAAGACGGAUUAGAUCAUGGUAAUUAUUGUUCCCGCUACUAAAAUGAAAAUAAAUGCAUAAACAGCAUCCAGGCAGAUUAGGAACAUUUGGAACUGUGGGAUUUAAUAUCCUAUUUAGGACUGAGGAUCGCCGUAAGAUCCCCAUUAGCUACUGCCAGAAACAGUAGCUACUCUUCCUGGGGUCCACAUCACGUGUUUGAGUUCUCAUGUAGUAUGAUGAGAUGAUUGUAAUCUUAUUUCCUUUUGAAUAAAACGCUUUUAUAGAGCCUAUUUAGGACCCUUCAAAAGUUUGGCUGUAAUCGAUCUGGGCCUAAACACAUUUUAUGUAUCUUCCAAUUUGACCUGCAAAACAUGGUGAUUUAAAAAAAAAAAAUCUUAUUCGCAUUAAUCUAUUAUUUCCUACAGCAGAAUGGGCUGAAUCACCAAUUCACGGCCUCUAAAUUAUAACAUUGACCGUGAGAUGGCCUCCGGACAGGAAAGUCAAGCGGGGGAUUGAGGCGUAUAUCCCCCAGUUCUGUAUUCAUUUCCCGCUUGUAUUUGCUCGGUAAUCCACCUCGGCAGGCCUUCACGGUGAAGCUGCUAUAAGUGGCGUCGUUGUUGACACAGCGGCGCAUUUCAAUCACAGCGGGUUCACAGUCAGACGAACAACUUAUUUGUCUAAUAAAUCCGUCAUUUAGGUAGAAAAAUAUUUGAUCUGUUGGGUCUGACCUCGUCGCCAUUUACUGCAAUCCGAGGCCGGGUAGUGUGGGAUGUAUGAAAGGGCCUCCAUGGAAGACAGCAGAUGAGGAGCACGAGUUCGACCGCGGACCAGACAGACGUGUGAAGCUCAAUGACAUAUUGCCUGAGUCCGCACACUUAUUUUCUUGAGAAAACGAAUGAAAACGCACAUGUACACGCGCGCGCAAACCCCACCAAAGAGAAUCGCUGGGUUUCCAUUAAAUUUGACCACGAAAUGUCAUUCUCACUGACAGACACAAUUCCAGUCGCCCUACUUCAGGCUUUUUCUUAUUCCUUAUAAUAUACAGAUUCCAGCAGCAUUGAAUUAACAUAACAUAUAGGCUGAGGUGAGUAACGGCAGAGAUGUUGUUUCUAUUGCUUUUUGACAUUAUUAUUCAUACUUAUUAUUCUUGGUAUCCUAUAACUUAAAAUCCAUGUUUUUAAUUUUCCGGUCAACCAGCGUCGUUUUUUCCGCUAAAAACCCCAAAUGAUAUUCUUGGGUCACUGGAAGGCCUUAUCUUGGUAAGUUCUAUGUAUGUCUCGCAGCGGGCCAGUAGAAAUGUCAUGGCUUUACCCCAGCCUAUCUCUUUAGCGCUGUGAUAGCUUUAGGCGCUGCUCUUAUUGACCCCGGCUUUGAAUACAUUUGCUCCUCAUCAUUACCCCCACGUGCAGCCUUCUGCUGGUGACGUGUUUCUGCUCUACUGAUAAUGGGUUCGUGCACAGCAUGUAGGGCUAAUUGGCUUGUUAGGAGAAAUUUUCGACAUAUGAUAUUCUAAAUGAAUGGCAAGGCGCUAAGAAGUUCCAAUAACCUAGGUAGAUGUCAUUGCAUUCAAGGUCCAACCGAAAUGUUACUUACGCUUUUAGGGCAAAGCUACAGAUUAUUUCAAUUUAACAUGGGUAACAUGGCUGAACAACCGCUAAGCUGAACAUGUAAAUGCUUUCUGUCGUUUGAUUAAUCGGACUAUCACGCCUUCAACACAAAACUCCAUAUGCUGAAAGGUGCGGCUUUUUACACGAUGCACCUCAAUCCACUGUUCAUAGUGAUUGAAUUGCAUCGCUGUAAUUUACUGUAUCUUAAGACUGCUAACUCAAUGACGUUUCUGAAAUAGAUUUAAAAUGAUGCGGAAAUAUAUAGGCUACCACUUUACACUAGUUAUGUACCACUGCUCAUGAUGAUGAAACAUAUACCACUUUACACGUGUUCUAUACCAGUGUCCAUAAUGCUGAAAUGUAUAUCAUUUGUGUACACGUGUGUCUGUACCACUCUCCAUGGUGCUGAAAUAUACACCAAUUUACAUGUGUUCUGUACCAGUGUCCAUGAUGGAGAAAUAUAUACCACUUUACAUGUGUUCUGUUCUACUGUCCAUUUAUGCUGAAAUAUAUACCACUUUACGUGUUCUGUUCUACUGUCUAUUUAUGCUGAAAUAUACACCACUUUACAUGUGUUUUGUACCACUGUCUGUGACGGUGAAAAAUAUAAAAUUUUAGAGUGUUCUGUAUCACUGUCACUGAUGGUGUAAUAUACACUACUUUACACAUGUUCCGUACCACUGUCCUUGGUGCUGAAAAAUAUACCACUUUACAUGUGUUCUGUACCACUGUCCAUGGUGCUGAAAUAUAUAUCACUUUACAUGUG